GAAUUGAGACAUUGAGUUUUCCAGAAAUCAUCGUUCGGCUUUAUUUAACGCGAAGCUAUUAAAGAAAACUCCAGACGAUACAGAGUUCAAUCAAAAGUCAAAACUACGUAAGGAGGAAGGAGAGAAAAGAAAACUUAAGUGUGGCAAGAUGGAAAACGAAACAAUGUUGGGAGGGUCGAGAAUCUGGAGAAACUUCUGAACUUAACACUGAACAGGCUGAAAUUCUCUAAAUUUAUCGCUCAUUGGCCUACAAGCAACAAGGCAACAUCUGAUGAUUCUGAUCUUGCAUGAAUGGAAGAGAACAUUUGGCACUAUGAUAAUAAUUUGGUUAACUUUUGAAGAGAAAGUGAGGAGAAAAUACUCCAAGGAUCUCAUUCCUCCAACAACUAUGGCAGAUUUGUUCACGGUUUGCCCUCGCCGCUGUUCGAUAGACUUUAUCAAUUGGUGGAAAAUGACAAGUGGUCGGCCGCGCUGAAAUUCAAGAUCGAUAAAUUAUAUACAGUAGAUGUUUAGAAAUUACAAGUGCAUAUCUGGGCUCCCUUCUCAGUGGCCCCGUUUCCCUAAUUAACCACUAACCAGUCGCUGCGACAACCAGGAGUAAGGGAGUGGACUGGUCGAACAGGGACUUGCAAGGCGCAUGAUUCGAUGAAAUCUGUUGGAGGGUCAUGAGUCUAAGCCGGAAGACUACUAAGAUUAAUCGCUCUCGUAAUAACUGUUCCUCGGCUCUCUUCGCUCUUUUUCCGGUUUCUUUUAACCAUUGCCGGGUAACCUCCCUUGUCGAGUCAGUGCGGGUAGUGUCUUCCCUUGCUUGACUGGCUGUAGUUUGAACCGGACGGUCUGUUAAAAUAAGAAUUUAAAUCUAGAACAACGCCUCCUUUGAGCGGCCCGGACAACCCUGAAUCCUUUAGGGUUGCCAUUCCAUCGAGGCUUAAACGAGGAUGACGCGGAGGUGUUGCUCAUUGAGGGGUUUUGGUGACAAGGAGUCACUGAACGAAACGCUAAACCAAAUGAAAAAAUAAGAAAGCCAACGAUCCUUUAUAUAUCCGAGCCGAGUCCUUUCCGUCUACAUUCGGUAUGAAGAGCAAAACCCAAAUUUCAACACAUUUUACUGCUUAGCAACGAAAACAAAGCGAGUGUCAAAACAUUGUUUUACUUGCGCAUACUUUAUUGUGGCAGAAACGCGUUGGUCAUGUAACAGGGUGGAAUUUUUUUCCCUUUUGUUCAUGCAGCAUCAAACGACACGCGAUAGGUUCUGGCGGUAAUCAACUAUUCAAAAUGGUAGACAUGUCAAUGUAAAAGACAGGAUGCUCCUAAAUCAGCUGUGGAAAUACGAUUCCCCCCGCUUCUCCUGGAUGGUUACUUAGGAUCAUUUAAGUUCAUUUUUGAGUUAUUCGUUGUGAACGUAGCGGACAGUCUAUCGAGCU
This 1424-nucleotide long non-coding RNA is filed under the name Daphnia pulicaria. Its description in RNAcentral is "uncharacterized LOC124340585, transcript variant X1". Lineage: Eukaryota; Metazoa; Arthropoda; Branchiopoda; Diplostraca; Daphniidae. The record is from RNAcentral.